CCUACGGGAGGCAGCAGUGGGGGAUAUUGCACAAUGGGGGGAACCCUGAUGCAGCGACGCCGCGUGGGUGAAGGAGCGUUUCGGCGCGUAAAGCCCUAUCGGCAGGGAAGAAGGAGGACGGUACCUGACUAAGAAGCCCCGGCUAACUACGUGCCAGCAGCCGCGGUAAUACGUAGGGGGCAAGCGUUAUCCGGAUUUACUGGGUGUAAAGGGGGCGCAGACGGCAGCGCAAGCCAGGAGUGAAAGCCCGGGGCCCAACCCCGGGACUGCACUUGGGACUGCGCGGCUGGAGUGCAGGAGGGGAGGGCGGAAGUCCGGGUGUAGGGGUGACAUGCGUAGAUAUCAGGAGGAA
This 352-nucleotide ribosomal RNA is filed under the name uncultured bacterium. Its description in RNAcentral is "partial 16S ribosomal RNA". It matches the Rfam family "Bacterial small subunit ribosomal RNA", at positions 338 to 706 of the family's 1533-position model. The record is from RNAcentral.